RNAcentral lists this ribosomal RNA (504 nucleotides) under uncultured bacterium. RNAcentral describes it as "partial 16S ribosomal RNA". It matches the Rfam family "Bacterial small subunit ribosomal RNA", at positions 30 to 523 of the family's 1533-position model. The record is from RNAcentral.
AUUGAACGCUGGCGGCAGGCCUAACACAUGCAAGUCGAGCGGUAACACAGGGAGCUUGCUCCUGGGUGACGAGCGGCGGACGGGUGAGUAAUGUCUGGGAAACUGCCUGAUGGAGGGGGAUAACUACUGGAAACGGUAGCUAAUACCGCAUAACGUCGCAAGACCAAAGAGGGGGACCUUCGGGCCUCUUGCCAUCAGAUGUGCCCAGAUGGGAUUAGCUAGUAGGUGGGGUAACGGCUCACCUAGGCGACGAUCCCUAGCUGGUCUGAGAGGAUGACCAGCCACACUGGAACUGAGACACGGUCCAGACUCCUACGGGAGGCAGCAGUGGGGAAUAUUGCGCAAUGGGCGCAAGCCUGAUGCAGCCAUGCCGCGUGUAUGAAGAAGGCCUUCGGGUUGUAAAGUACUUUCAGCGGUGAGGAAGGCGUUGUGGUUAAUAACCACAGCGAUUGACGUUACCCGCAGAAGAAGCACCGGCUAACUCCGUGCCAGCCGCCGCGGUAA